Long non-coding RNA from Solea solea (common sole), 1617 nucleotides. RefSeq lists it as uncharacterized. The transcript is spliced from 3 exons. The record is from RefSeq and is a predicted model, not a curated record. Lineage: Eukaryota; Metazoa; Chordata; Actinopteri; Pleuronectiformes; Soleidae.
AUUAGUGCAUGAUGGCGUGCAGCUGAUGACUGAAUGUGUAUCAGGUGUGUCGGUGCUGCCUUCUCUCUCUUUGUCGCUCUUCCACACAGUCAACACGUCGCAUUAUCGUUCAGACGCAGGAAACAAGCAGCAACAGCUCAAACACACAAACGUAAAGUCGUUUUUAAUACGAAGUUGAAAAAUGUUCCGGAGAUUCUGACUGAGGAAGACCGUUUUUUAUUUUGUUUUUAAAAACGCCGCGCUGCCCACAUCACCGCGUGUGACGUCAGACCCUCGAAGAAGCGCCAUUAAUUCCAACACUGGUGUGGUUAUACUUUAUAUUAUUACCUUGUUUAGCGUUACUAAUGUGGGCAGAAGGCGAGAGACUGUUUUAUACCUGGCCCAGAUUCAUGAGUCAUCCUGAAAGUUCCUCGAGAUCAUGCUGAGCACACCUGCCUUUACAACACACCUGAGAAUCACUGAACAGGUUGAAACUUCAUGAAGAUCUUCAAACAGUAAGGGGUCAUUCUUUUUAUCGUGGGUGUUGCUGUACUCCCACUUUAUCCUGUUGCUUGGCCAUAUGUGUACAUUUAAUAUGGCCGCCGUGCCAUUCUGACUUGUUCUUUUAGAAUAGAAUACAAUAGAAUAUCUUUAUUUGUCAUUGUAAUAGGUACAACAAAAUUAAGUGUAUUCCUAUGGACAUAAAAAAGCCAUAUCCCACCCAUACGCAUCCACAUUCAUAAGAUGUAAAACAUAAAAGCUAUGCUUUGGUUUUUAACACAGUGAUCUAUCAACUAUUUUGAUGGCAUGUCCACAUCUAAGUCUCCUUUUAUUUCUUGAAUAGCUGUGGAGAAUAACACGUGGUACAAUAACCAUGAGCAGUGUAAAUAAUUCAAAAUGAAUCUGCCUGUACUCUUUCUGCACUGCCCAUUAGUCGAAAGUGCAGUCUUAAAUCCAUCACCCCCAAAAUGUAUUGUUCUUUGUGGUUCACUUUAGAAGUGUAGGGCUGGCUUGUCUAUCUCUGCCAAAUUGGCUUUUAUCUGGAGACUAAUUUUCUGUAUUUCUGUUUUAUCCGUGUAUUAUGUUGGGAGGCCUCCCAUCAGGGGAAUUUAACCUACCCCUGCAAAACUUUGCGACGCUUUUGAAGGAUAUUUAAUAUAGGAAUAUAAUAUUUAAUUCACCUAACUUGACGGUUUCAUACUUGGAAUUCACCGCACUUGAUGGGUAGAGUACUGAAUAGACGCGUGUUUAGGUUCUCUGGAGACGAGCAAAUUUGGCAGAGACAGAUUUAUUGAUAUGUAGCAGAUGUACACCAAAUUCUAUCUACUAUACCAAGUUACCUGCUAUUAACCUACUUGAAAUUAAAACAUUAUACCAUGGGCUGAAAUCCACAGGUCUCGUGUGUUCAAGGGCAUUAGUAAUGGGGCUAUAUACUAAGAUGUGCAGCUGUUUGUUUUUGCUAUGGGACAUUGGCUUGUGAAAUGCGCCUCAUCUUAUCAGAAUUUGGUCAUUUAACUUUACCACGUUUAAUUGACUGAGACGACUAAGCAUGAUUUUAUUUUAUGAUGGGCUAUGGGAAACCUACACACCUGAAUAUUUAAUUGUAUCAUCAUAUUAUCUGUAACUGUCACCAAUCAU